RNAcentral lists this ribosomal RNA (551 nucleotides) under uncultured bacterium. Its description in RNAcentral is "bacterial SSU rRNA". It matches the Rfam family "Bacterial small subunit ribosomal RNA", at positions 355 to 896 of the family's 1533-position model. The record is from RNAcentral.
UCGAGAGGCUUUGGCAAUGGGGGAAACCCUGACCAAGCGACGCCGCGUGGGUGAUGAAGGCUUUCGGGUCGUAAAGCCCUGUCAUGGGAGAAGAAAAACUAUCGGGACAAUACCCCGGUAGCUUGACGGUAUCCCAGGAGGAAGCUCCGGCAAACUCCGUGCCAGCAGCCGCGGUAAUACGGGGGGAGCAAGCGUUGUUCGGAUUUACUGGGCGUAAAGGGCGUGUAGGCGGCCUAUCAAGUCGGGCGUGAAAUCCUCUGGCUCAACCAGAGAACUGCACCCGAAACUGAUAGACUUGAGUAUAGGAGAGGAAAGCGGAAUUCCUGGUGUAGCGGUGAAAUGCGUAGAUAUCAGGAAGAACACCAGUGGCGAAGGCGGCUUUCUGGCCUACUACUGACGCUGAUGCGCGAAAGCCGGGGGAGCGAACAGGAUUAGAUACCCUGGUAGUCCCGGCCGUAAACGUUGGGCACUAGGUGUAGGGGGUAUCGACCCCCUCUGUGCCGAAGCUAACGCAUUAAGUGCCCCGCCUGGGGAGUACGACCGCAAGGUUG